GCCCACUUACCUCAAAGGUU
RNAcentral lists this transfer RNA (20 nucleotides) under Turnera scabra. Its description in RNAcentral is "partial tRNA-Thr". Lineage: Eukaryota; Viridiplantae; Streptophyta; Magnoliopsida; Malpighiales; Passifloraceae. The record is from RNAcentral.